UACGGAGGGUGCGAGCGUUGUCCGGAAUUAUUGGGCGUAAAGCGCGUGUAGGCGGCUUUGCAAGUCGGGUGUGAAAGCCCUCGGCUCAACCGAGGAAGUGCGCCCGAAACUGCAGAGCUUGAGUACCGGAGAGGAUGGCGGAAUUCCCCAAGUAGAGGUGAAAUUCGUAGAUAUGGGGAGGAACACCGGUGGCGAAGGCGGCCAUCUGGACGGAUACUGACGCUGAGGAGCGAAAGCGUGGGGAGCGAACAGG
RNAcentral lists this ribosomal RNA (253 nucleotides) under uncultured bacterium. RNAcentral describes it as "partial 16S ribosomal RNA". It matches the Rfam family "Bacterial small subunit ribosomal RNA", at positions 524 to 776 of the family's 1533-position model. The record is from RNAcentral.